Molecule: ribosomal RNA, 510 nt
Filed under: uncultured bacterium
Lineage: Bacteria
Description: partial 16S ribosomal RNA
Rfam family: Bacterial small subunit ribosomal RNA
Source: RNAcentral
GACGAACGCUGGCGGCGUGCUUAACACAUGCAAGUCGAACGAAGAGCGAUGGAAGCUUGCUUCUAUCAAUCUUAGUGGCGAACGGGUGAGUAACGCGUAAUCAACCUGCCCUUCAGAGGGGGACAACAGUUGGAAACGACUGCUAAUACCGCAUACGAUCUAAUCUCGGCAUCGAGGAUGGAUGAAAGGUGGCCUCUACAUGUAAGCUAUCACUGAAGGAGGGGAUUGCGUCUGAUUAGCUAGUUGGAGGGGUAACGGCCCACCAAGGCGAUGAUCAGUAGCCGGUCUGAGAGGAUGAACGGCCACAUUGGGACUGAGACACGGCCCAGACUCCUACGGGAGGCAGCAGUGGGGAAUCUUCCGCAAUGGACGAAAGUCUGACGGAGCAACGCCGCGUGAGUGAUGACGGCCUUCUGGUUGUAAAGCUCUGUUAAUCGGGACGAAAGGCCUUCUUGCGAAUAGUGAGAAGGAUUGACGGUACCGGAAUAGAAAGCCACGGCUAACUACGUG